Molecule: long non-coding RNA, 481 nt
Filed under: Rattus norvegicus (Norway rat)
Lineage: Eukaryota; Metazoa; Chordata; Mammalia; Rodentia; Muridae
Description: long non-coding RNA NONRATT030497
Source: RNAcentral
AGGUCUCCAGUAGAUCACUUUGUAGCUGUGGAUGAGAUCCUCACCCUCCUCCUCCACUUCCCAAGUGCUGCUAGGGUUACAGGCGCAGUACACCCACCUGUGCUUGGUGUCUGAGGAAGCCAGGAGAUGAUCCUGGAUACCUUGGCACUGGAGUUUGUAGAUGGCGAACCAAUCCUGAGUCCUCUGCAAGAGCAACAAGUACCCUUCCUGUUGAGGCAUCCCCGGUUAACGUUUCUAAAGCUCGUCGAGCAGUUCCCAGCACAGAGCAAAUAAAGGGAAGGUGGACUGCUUAACUCACCUCAUGCCAAAGCAUCUUUCAAUAAGAAGGCAUCAGCAGACGACAGUACAAGAGACGAGAUGACUGUCAGAAUCCUAUUCUUUUAUUUCCGUACAAGCCAUGAGAUUUCCUGCCCUGCUCCAUCUUCGAACCUUACAGUUUUAGAAAUCUGAUGGGUCUACUACUCACGGUGCAAAUAAAAUU